CCUUGAACGCGCAGGAGCGCGCGGGCAGAUUAAUGUGGGAUUUGAGCACCUGACUAAAGUAACGGGAAAUUGCUGAUCACUGGAUGAACGCGCACUGGAACCUUUUAAUUUAAUUGCUAAAUGGAUUAAUGAACCGUAAUUCUUAUUUUUGCUUUGCUGUCUCUUUGAAAGUCAAAGAAGAUGGACUGAACCCAAGCACUCUAUUGAUCUGUGUUUUAUUUGGCAGUGCAUUGUAAUGAUCUUCUAAUGUCUCUGAAGGAUGUUCACCAAGAGUCACAAUGAGCUGUCAAACCAUUCAUCUGUAAUGCAUUGUGCCUUUUAAAUAGAUUGAACCAGACUGACUAGAAAUAAUAGAGUAUAAUAGAAUAUUUAACUUGUAGAGCAAAAUAUUUUCUGAGCUUAGCUACGACCGUCUGUCAGUGUCAGGUCACCGCUUUGUUUCGUGUCCAUCGACGUCAUUUUCAAAGGAUACGAUUACGAAGUAGGCCUACGACAAGUUUCCGUUUUGUAGAACAUGAGAAAGUCUUUUUUCAGACGAGCAAAGUUAUUGCCGUGGAUAAGCAACGUGACUCUGUACGGGUGCUUGUUCGCCGGUGGGGACUUCGUGCAUCAGUGUAUGAUCGCGCGGAGAGAUGAAAUGGACUGGAGGCACACGAGAAACGUGGCGAUCGUGGCGCUGAGCUUUCAAGGUAACUUCAAUUACUUCUGGUUGCGAGCUUUAGAGCAUCGUUUCCCGGGAAGAUCGGCCGGUAUGAUUUUACGCAAACUGCUUUUGGACCAAACUUUUGCUUCACCUUUGGCGACCAGUGUCUUCUACACAGGUGUGAGUUUCUUGGAAGGCAAAGAGGACAUAUUUGCAGACUGGCGAGAAAAGUUUUUAAAUACAUACAAGACUGGACUAAUGUACUGGCCAUUCAUGCAGUUUCUGAAUUUUGUUCUGUUGCCUCUCUACCUGAGGACGGCAUUCAUGGGCUGUUCAGCGUUCCUGUGGGCCACGUUCUUAUGUUUCUCGCGACAGAGUGGGGAUGGCACAGCAGGAGUAGCCUUAGCUUGGAUCAUGGCCCCCAAAAAACGGAUUCUACCUCGCAGUACAGACGAGGAGAAAUAGAGACACUGUGGCACAUAUGAACAACAUUGUGCCUUUGCGGAUGGACAGUUCAGUCCCACUAUGGCACUGUAUCGAGGCUGUGAUGUGUUUAUAAAUCUUGUUGCUUACUAUCUUAUUAAGAGUGAUAUUAAAUUAACUUGUACGUGUACACCUUUCAUUUAUUUUUAUGUUGAACAACCCAAUUUUACAUUAUAUAGUUUAAUGUUUUAUGUGAUUCAAUUUAUUUAUUUAUUACUGAAAGGAAAUGCAUUGUGUGUUUAUGAAUUUCACUGGGUGGGUUGGAAGGGCCUUGCGACAUAUGUGCCCCAGGUUAGGUUGCCAUUCAUCCCAAAUAGCUUAUGAAUUUAUUGAAAUAUUUUAAAAAUGGACAUACUGUGCAGUGUUUUAUCCAAACGUAACCGUCUUUCUAAAGAGAAAUAAAGAAGCAUUUACUCAUAAGGUUUACAUGCAUGUGUACUCAUAAGGGAUGCAGUAUUAAAAAGAUUUGUAUCUUAUUAAACUUGUAAAAAAUAUAUUUAUUGUUAUUAUGUCAGGAUCAUAGACUGUCUGUAUCAUGUUUUGUUUCCGUAGUGUUUCCUGUUGUGUCUAUUGAUCCCUUUCUUCACCCCUAAUUCCUUCUCCUCCUGCUGGAGCAGGGUGAGCGCUCUCUUGAGGACCAUACAAGACUGUUCCGGCUGUUAGCUAGCACUACCAGCUACCCGGACGCCGUCGUCCAAGGAUGGUCCUUGAGAGGAUUUCGUUGCCUUCGUGGAGUGGACUCUGGUGAGAAAUAGAUCGCCAUCCUGCCCCAUGGAUGAUCUCGUCAGAUCCACUCCAGACCCAGUGCCCAGCCCACCAUCUCCCCGCGGUGCGGAGCAUCAGCCCAAGCCCACAACUGACGGUGAGCCAGAGCCUGCCGCGACCGACAAGCCAUUGCCAGAGAGAGCAACAGAGCUGAGGAUCGCUGUGGAGCCGGAGGCCGUGAUGUCAGUCGAGGUGCGAGAGCCGGCUACAGAGACCACUACGAGGGAGAGAGCCACGGACAUUGUGAGCACAGAGUAGAGCUCCGCCCCCCUGCACCACAGCUGAGGGUGAGCUGAGUUCGGUGCGGUGAAAGUGCCAAACUGAAGAGGAGAGGGCUCCAGUCCCCGAAUCCAGUCCAGAGCGCCCUCCAGUGCCCAUUCCUAGAAAGUGCCCUCCAGUCCCCGCUUCUCGAACGCGCCCUCAAGUGUCCGCUCCAGAGCACCAUCCUGUUUCCGUGUUCAGCAUAGAAGGGGCUCCCGAUCCAGAGUUUAACACUGAAUGCCCACAGGCUCAGAAAUGCCCGUCCUCCCACCCGCUCCUGCCUCCUCCUCCGCUGUCAUCUGGCAGCCCCUCUGCUCGCCUUCAGCCCACCAUCUAUGCGGUGUGAUCUUCACUUUGCGUAUGUGAUCCUCCAGUGUCGCAAUGGCUGGAGAAUCUCUCCCUUCCGCCUUCAGCCUCCACUGUCACCCGUCGAUCCACCAGCUCCACCGGGCUCCCUCGUCCCUCUGGGUCCACCUUGGUCGGGCGUCGACCAUCCUGCACCUCGGGACUUCACUCCCCCAGCUGCGCCUCGUCCCUCUAGCUCCGUCAGUCUCCUUCAUCUCUUCAGCUCCUCCUCAGUCCUCAGUCGCACCGGCUCCGCCUCGGAUCUCCAUCUUGGCCGCCAGAGCCCUCGGCUCCACCUUGGCCCCUGGAUCCUCAGCAUCUGCCUAGCUCUUCGGCUCUCCACCUCAGUCUCCUCCGCCACCUGCUCCGCUGCCAUUGGUCAGCCCCCUGGAGUUGGCGGCCAUUCCUCCUCCAUGGCUCCUUCCUCCGUCAGCUCCACCGUUGGUUGCUAUUAUGGCUGUGGCCUGGGUCUAGCUGGGCUCCUCCUGCUCCAAGCCUUUCCUGUCUCCUCCCUGGCUCCUCCAUCCAUCCGCUCCUCCCUGGACUUUGUCUGUUGGCCCCUUUCUGGAUAUCCGGCCUCCUCCCAAGUUCCCACCCAUCCCUCCCUCUGUUGCUUCUAUGGUGCGAGGACGCACCUUCCAGGAGGGGUUCCACAGUUUGUCUCUGUCAGAUCUACCAGUGAUGUACGUGUGUCAACCUCCUGUUCCC
Cyprinus carpio carpio is the source of this 3205-nucleotide long non-coding RNA. The record is from Ensembl. Lineage: Eukaryota; Metazoa; Chordata; Actinopteri; Cypriniformes; Cyprinidae.